UGACUCCCAUUGCACAUACCGGGAGG
RNAcentral lists this small nuclear RNA (26 nucleotides) under Arabidopsis thaliana (thale cress). Its description in RNAcentral is "snRNA_05064". The record is from RNAcentral. Lineage: Eukaryota; Viridiplantae; Streptophyta; Magnoliopsida; Brassicales; Brassicaceae.